Molecule: transfer RNA, 82 nt
Filed under: Rhabdochlamydiaceae bacterium
Lineage: Bacteria; Pseudomonadati; Chlamydiota; Chlamydiia; Parachlamydiales; Candidatus Rhabdochlamydiaceae
Also listed under: 1 other name
Description: tRNA-Leu
Rfam family: tRNA
About the family: Transfer RNA (tRNA) molecules are approximately 80 nucleotides in length. Their secondary structure includes four short double-helical elements and three loops (D, anti-codon, and T loops). Further hydrogen bonds mediate the characteristic L-shaped molecular structure. tRNAs have two regions of fundamental functional importance: the anti-codon, which is responsible for specific mRNA codon recognition, and the 3' end, to which the tRNAs corresponding amino acid is attached (by aminoacyl-tRNA synthetases). tRNAs cope with the degeneracy of the genetic code in two manners: having more than one tRNA (with a specific anti-codon) for a particular amino acid; and 'wobble' base-pairing, i.e. permitting non-standard base-pairing at the 3rd anti-codon position.
Source: RNAcentral
GCGGGAGUGGCGGAAUUGGCAGACGCGCUACUUUGAGGUGGUAGUGAGGCAACUUGUGUGGGUUCGAGUCCCACCUCUCGCA